UCUUUGACCAUUACACUGCAGUUGAAUUGUGUGAAACUGCUAAUUUGUUUGUGUAAUUGAUGUGAGGUAUUUUUCAGGUGCUAUUAAAUCAAUAGAAGUUGUAAUGACAUCAGAAUCAAAAUGCAAACCAAGUCGAGAGCUCAGCGGUGUAAUCAGAGGGUAUUUGAUUUUUUAUAACCUAGCACAAUUGUUUGGAUGGGCAUACCUCUUAUUUCAACUCAUCACUUACUAUGUGGCAGGUCCGAAAGAAGUACCUUUGUGGGGGAUCGUGAAACCGAUUGUUAUGAUUUUUCAGAAUGCAGCUGCUUUAGAGAUCGUCCAUGCUGCCACGAACAUUGUUCCAUCCAAUGUGUUGAUCACAGUGUUCCAGGUGUUUUCACGUGUUUUGGUGGUAUGUGGAGUGUUACUUCCAACCCCAACAGGGCCAGACAGUUCUGGUCUUCCACUUGCUCUGCUUGCAUGGUCAAUCACUGAGGUGAUACGAUACCUGUACUAUGCUCUAAACCUCUUGGGUGCAGUGCCUUACCUCCUGGUGUGGUGUCGGUACACAUUCUUCAUUGCACUGUACCCUAUUGGAGUGAUGGGUGAACUUCUGUGCUUGCAUGCAGCUCAGGCAUAUGUAGGCAGCAAGAAGCUGUGGAGUCUGGAGAUGCCAAACAAACUGAAUCUCACUUUCAGCUACCAUUACUUUCUGCUCUUCAUAAUGUUCUUAUACAUCCCAUUAUUUCCACAGCUCUACCUGCACAUGUUUGCACAGCGCCGGAAACUAAUAUCAGGUGGCACAAGCAAGAAAGUCCAAUGAUAACUGCAAUGAGGCAUGUCUACAACUUUGGGUAUUCUGCUACAGAUUUUCUUAGGAAAUGAAAUGGAUCUUGGGGUUUCCAAAACCUAACAUUGAAACUGAGUCUGAUUUAAGUUUUAUACUCUCUGUAGUGCUGAAAGAUAAACUUGGGGGAUGGCUGACUGUUUGCUUUUAAUAAAAGGAAAGGAUGGCAUAUUUUGUUACAAGAGUGAUCAGAAGAUGUUAAAUAAAUAUUGUAACAUACCAUACUGAUGGAAAGCUUAUAAAUGUUGGCAAGCAGUGGAAUUCUUUAUGCCUGAGCUACUAUUCCAUAUGAAAAAGAGACCCUGGUACGCAGUAGAUAGACUGAUAGGGCCCAAGAGCUGGUGCAGAUGUGACAGAGAGAAAUCCUUGCUAUGAAACAAACCUCAUUCACCCCAUCUGUAACUAGUCCUUUUACUACUGAUGAAGCUAUUCCAUCAUCAGAAUACAUCCAUUUGCUUACAGUUAUACAAGAAUUGCAUAAGUAUGCUGUAUAAACUCUUUAGUCAGAAGAUAAAAGAGUACAAAUAUAUGUGUAAAUCUUUUUAAGUAACUUGUAUAUCCUGUGUUGUGGUAUAUCUGAUCUUGAAGUAGCACUCUCAAAUGCAUUUUCUGUCAUAUGAAACAUGUUAUCACGUACAGUGGUAAAGAUGUGUUAUGACUAGCAUAUAACUAAUGUCACUAAUAUGGUAAAAUCCAUGUAACAAAUUUGAAUUUGAAAGAAAAUUCACAUUGCAAGAAAUGUAGAGAGAUAGUUUAAGUUCACACUUUUGUUUAAUGAUUUGUUGAUGCUGGAAAGUAUGAGUGAUGGGUUGAAAGUAUAAAACAUUUGAUUCUGGUAAGUCAAGGGUAAGCAACCUUUUCAUAGUGUAGGCCACAUUGAAAAGUAUGGAGCUCAUUGCAGGCCAAAUUCAAGUUUUAGUACCCAUUGAUGUAAAACUAUAUAAUUAGCAGUUAAUGUUAAUGGGUUCAAUUAAUUGUAAAAAUUACACUCAUACCUCAUUACAGACAAGCAAUAUAUUCUUGAGUAUUAAGAAAUGUUGAAAUUCACAGUUAGUGUGUUUUGUUUUAUUUUACACUUUUCCAAUGUCCUUGUCAUUUAAAUACAUGAAUAUGAUUACAAAAACAGUAAAAGGAAGUGAAAAUAAGUCAAAAUAAAUGUUAAUCAUGUACAGAAAAAGAGUGUCAUAUUAUAAUAUCAACCAACAUGGCCACUGGACUUGGUUGCAGUAGUUGAAUUUGCAAAUUUGUGAAUUCACAUUCAUGCAAACAUUUUUUGAGCAUAAUUCAAUUUUUAUGUAGUAUGGACAGUUUUGAACUACUCACCAUUCAUGCUUGUCUUUCAUCAGGUCACUCUGAUAUUAGAGGAAUCAACUAUUAAUUCACUUUGCAAAUGUUUGUCUGUAAAUCUGCUCCUAAAGUUUGAUUUAAUAUGCUUCAGUUUUUGAACCAGUUCCUCACAAACAUAGGUAUUCCAGAUAAUGCACUUACACAUAUGGCAUGUCUGUAGAGCUGAGGGGAAUUAUUUCUAGGAGACAAUUUGUAGAUUUUCAAAAGAAAUACGAUCAGAAAUUUUUCUCUUCUUUACCGUCUGGUUUGCAAAUCUAAGAGCUCCACUUGGAAUUUUUCAGGCACUGCCAUAACAUCUAAUUCAAAGGGUGACACAAAUAUUCAGAAAGAUGUUUUAUGUAUUAUAAUGUCUUUGAACCUACAUUUGAACUCUUCCCUCAGAAUGCCAUUAGUUGCAUUGAAGGAUACACAUUUAGCUCUCUCAUUUGAAGUUUGAAGGUAUACUGUAUUUUGUUUUGAUAUGAGCCAGUUUUAAAGAAAACUGUUACAUGCUCCUCCCCCCCCCCCUCCAAACCGCAAAAAAAUUCAAUCCAUGGGCCAUAUGUUGCAUGUCCCUGCUGUAAGUUGUUCUUUAUACAGGCACAUCCAUUAUCACUUUGCAGGGAUACCAGAUUUUGUUCAGAUUUAUGAACCUUGGAAGUGUCCUUAGUUGAAUUCCCAAAGCUGUGGAAGUAUAUUUAGUAUCACACUUUGCUUAAGUGUAUCAGAGCAAGGUAAUUAGGUUAUUUUAUAUUCUAUUUUUAUAUAUUAUAAUGUGGUGGUAUUUAUGUGAGGUAUAUGGGUUCUUAUGUGCAAUAUUAUAUUCUUUCUGGUUACUGCUUUAGUAAUAUAGCUUUUCUCAGAAUUAAAUGUCCAUUUAUGGAGACAGA
Non-coding RNA from Zootermopsis nevadensis, 3042 nucleotides. The record is from RefSeq and is a predicted model, not a curated record. NCBI's taxonomy places the organism in Eukaryota, Metazoa, Arthropoda, Insecta, Blattodea, Termopsidae.